GAUCCUGGCUCAGGAUGAACGCUAGCUACAGGCUUAACACAUGCAAGUCGAGGGGCAGCAUGAACUUAGCUUGCUAAGUUUGAUGGCGACCGGCGCACGGGUGAGUAACACGUAUCCAACCUGCCGAUGACUCGGGGAUAGCCUUUCGAAAGAAAAAUUAAUACCCGAUGGCAUAAUUCUUCCGCAUGGUAGAAUUAUUAAAGAAUUUCGGUCAUCGAUGGGGAUGCGUUCCAUUAGGUUG
Molecule: ribosomal RNA, 241 nt
Filed under: uncultured bacterium
Lineage: Bacteria
Description: partial 16S ribosomal RNA
Rfam family: Bacterial small subunit ribosomal RNA
Source: RNAcentral